GUGGGGAAUAUUGGACAAUGGGCGCAAGCCUGAUCCAGCAAUGCCGCGUGCAGGAAGAAGGCCUUCGGGUUGUAAACUGCUUUUGUACGGAACGAAACGGUCCUGGUUAAUACCUGGGGCUAAUGACGGUACCGUAAGAAUAAGCACCGGCUAACUACGUGCCAGCAGCCGCGGUAAUACGUAGGGUGCGAGCGUUAAUCGGAAUUACUGGGCGUAAAGCGUGCGCAGGCGGUGCUGUAAGACAGGCGUGAAAUCCCCGGGCUCAACCUGGGAAUUGCGCUUGUGACUGCAGUGCUGGAGUACGGCAGAGGGGGAUGGAAUUCCGCGUGUAGCAGUGAAAUGCGUAGAUAUGCGGAGGAACACCGAUGGCGAAGGCAGUCCCCUGGGCCUGUACUGACGCUCAUGCACGAAAGCGUGGGGAGCAAACAGGAUUAGAUACCCCGGUAGUCC
This 450-nucleotide ribosomal RNA is filed under the name uncultured bacterium. RNAcentral's name for it is "partial 16S ribosomal RNA". It matches the Rfam family "Bacterial small subunit ribosomal RNA", at positions 354 to 796 of the family's 1533-position model. The record is from RNAcentral.